AGAGUUUGAUCCUGGCUCAGGAUGAACGCUGGCGGCGUGCCUAAUACAUGCAAGUCGAGCGAACGGACGAGAAGCUUGCUUCUCUGAUGUUAGCGGCGGACGGGUGAGUAACACGUGGAUAACCUACCUAUAAGACUGGGAUAACUUCGGGAAACCGGAGCUAAUACCGGAUAAUAUUUUGAACCGCAUGGUUCAAAAGUGAAAGACGGUCUUGCUGUCACUUAUAGAUGGAUCCGCGCUGCAUUAGCUAGUUGGUAAGGUAACGGCUUACCAAGGCAACGAUGCAUAGCCGACCUGAGAGGGUGAUCGGCCACACUGGAACUGAGACACGGUCCAGACUCCUACGGGAGGCAGCAGUAGGGAAUCUUCCGCAAUGGGCGAAAGCCUGACGGAGCAACGCCGCGUGAGUGAUGAAGGUCUUCGGAUCGUAAAACUCUGUUAUUAGGGAAGAACAUAUGUGUAAGUAACUGUGCACAUCUUGACGGUACCUAAUCAGAAAGCCACGGCUAACUACGUGCCAGCAGCCGCGGUAAUACGUAGGUGGCAAGCGUUAUCCGGAAUUAUUGGGCGUAAAGCGCGCGUAGGCGGUUUUUUAAGUCUGAUGUGAAAGCCCACGGCUCAACCGUGGAGGGUCAUUGGAAACUGGAAAACUUGAGUGCAGAAGAGGAAAGUGGAAUUCCAUGUGUAGCGGUGAAAUGCGCAGAGAUAUGGAGGAACACCAGUGGCGAAGGCGACUUUCUGGUCUGUAACUGACGCUGAUGUGCGAAAGCGUGGGGAUCAAACAGGAUUAGAUACCCUGGUAGUCCACGCCGUAAACGAUGAGUGCUAAGUGUUAGGGGGUUUCCGCCCCUUAGUGCUGCAGCUAACGCAUUAAGCACUCCGCCUGGGGAGUACGACCGCAAGGUUGAAACUCAAAGGAAUUGACGGGGACCCGCACAAGCGGUGGAGCAUGUGGUUUAAUUCGAAGCAACGCGAAGAACCUUACCAAAUCUUGACAUCCUUUGACAACUCUAGAGAUAGAGCCUUCCCCUUCGGGGGACAAAGUGACAGGUGGUGCAUGGUUGUCGUCAGCUCGUGUCGUGAGAUGUUGGGUUAAGUCCCGCAACGAGCGCAACCCUUAAGCUUAGUUGCCAUCAUUAAGUUGGGCACUCUAAGUUGACUGCCGGUGACAAACCGGAGGAAGGUGGGGAUGACGUCAAAUCAUCAUGCCCCUUAUGAUUUGGGCUACACACGUGCUACAAUGGACAAUACAAAGGGCAGCGAAACCGCGAGGUCAAGCAAAUCCCAUAAAGUUGUUCUCAGUUCGGAUUGUAGUCUGCAACUCGACUACAUGAAGCUGGAAUCGCUAGUAAUCGUAGAUCAGCAUGCUACGGUGAAUACGUUCCCGGGUCUUGUACACACCGCCCGUCACACCACGAGAGUUUGUAACACCCGAAGCCGGUGGAGUAACCUUUUAGGAGCUAGUCGUCGAAGGUGGGACAAAUGAUUGGGGUGAAGUCGUAACAAGGUAGCCGUAUCGGAAGGUGCGGCUGGAUCACCU
RNAcentral lists this ribosomal RNA (1540 nucleotides) under Staphylococcus aureus. Its description in RNAcentral is "16S ribosomal RNA". It matches the Rfam family "Bacterial small subunit ribosomal RNA". Lineage: Bacteria; Bacillati; Bacillota; Bacilli; Caryophanales; Staphylococcaceae. The record is from RNAcentral.